This is a small nucleolar RNA of Tachysurus fulvidraco (yellow catfish), 131 nucleotides long. RefSeq annotates it as small nucleolar RNA SNORA69. The transcript has a single exon. Lineage: Eukaryota; Metazoa; Chordata; Actinopteri; Siluriformes; Bagridae. The record is from RefSeq and is a predicted model, not a curated record.
AAAGCAGGACGCAAUUACAGUGCUUCAUUUGGUGGAAGGACUGUCAUUACCCUGCUGAGAGCAACAUCCUGCUUCAGAGUAACAGCUUCUCACCUCUGUGGGAUUGUAUACACUCUGUAGUAGGCACAACU